GUAUAAAGCCGUGUGCUGAUAAGCUUUAGGCUCCCCUCAGAUAAGAAACGAUAUACCUGGUUGGAAUGAGAGUGAGGAGGAGGAGGAAGGGGGUCGAAGUAACUAGAGGUUGUUUUACCUCUAUCUCGAGUCACUGGACUGAUGGUUGAGCGAGGGGGAGGGACGGUUGGAUGAAUAAAAAGAGGCACUUGGGGCCGGAUAUAGGGUUUUUGGACUUAAAUGGCGUGCGGUGGUGAGGCUCGAUGUUCUCGACUGACGGCCCUGUCGGUUGAAGUCACAUGAACUGCUGCCAGUGAAGUUGAAGUGGAAAGGGAACGGUUACUGGGUGAAUUCCACGAGGCGAUUGAAGCGACGUGAUAUGGAAAAAAUGAGAAAAAAAAUACUGAUUCCAGCGACACCGGAUACUAUGAACGUCCAUUGGGGAAAGGUGGUAUUCGCGGGAGAAUUUAAACACGCGGAGAAAUGGAGGCGUUUGAAUAUUUAUCAACGUUAUUAUGUAAUUAUUCUUGUAACCGCUUCAUCGCCGAAGUUGUUAAGCUAUUUUUUAGAACAUUCGAGUGAUUUUCGAUUUCUAAUGUCAUACGGAACAGAUAAACACAAGCAAUGGCGAGGGUUGAGGCGAAAACUUUUCUGAAAUCUCAUUUGAUUGAAAAUUUAAUUCUUUGGGAUUUUGAUGUUUUGGAAGGAGUUGGAAAAUUCAAACUUCAAAUGACAAAAUAAUGAUUGUUCAACAUGAAAACCCAGUUUUCUUAAAGUUUUAAGAGGAAUUCAAACCACGUUCGGACUGAAAUUUCAAAAAACUUCUAGCCGAGUUUCGAUUUUUUUCUAUGAAAGUUCUUUUGCAGGUUUAUAAAUUAUUAGUUUGUCCACAAAAAUAGUAUAGAUGAAAGGAGGGGAGAAAUAUUGGAAGACAUCGAAUUAAAAUACGGAAUAGAAACCAACAUAAUACUCAUUCAAAUUCCAGAGAGAAGUUUUUGAAAAAAAGAAAGAAAAAUGUAAAUACGGUGGAGGGCAAUUGUUAUACAAUUCGCAACAUUACCCUCCCCGGUGGAUGGAAGAUUGUAAUCUCAACAAUCAGUAAAACUUAUCGAGAGCGACGGAAAUAUUAGAAACCUUAAUGAACUGAGAUGCGAGUUAUCAGCCCCCCAUAUAUUUCGUUCUCUCUGGACGUAUCCGUGGGAACACAUCGCAAUAUAUGUGAUAAGUAGGCUUCAUAUAUCGUAAGUAUAUACACGAAUAUAUGUUAUGUAGGGACCACAUGCCUCGCUAUAUAGCCAUUCUAUUCCAAUCAUCUAUCAAUUUUCAUGGAGGGAACAUGAAUUAAAAUUAUUUUAGCAUUCAAACAUUGAAGGUGUAAAUUUCAUGUCUUAGUUUGAAAUAUAUGCACCAUUGCUUCUUGAGGAAGACAGCCAUUCUUCGGAGGCUGGGACUUCCUUUUAAAAUGACUUUCUUUAGUUUACUCAAGCGCACCCCUUGACAAGGGCAGAGAAAAUUCCAUAUUAAUUUUUUUCAUGCUCACAAUUCUAUCAAAAGAUCACUUCAGGCAAAAAUCAUGUUUUCAAAAGGUUGAACAGCUUCGAUGAGUUAAUUUUAAAAAAAGAUCUUUGAACAUAGAGUAAGAUCUCAAUUACUUAAUGUGUUGUUAAUAAAUAUACUCCAGAUUGAAUAUUCAUAUUUAUUUAUUUUAAAAUUUAUAGUCAAUUUACGUCGACACGUUUUGUAGAAGGUAGUGGAUAAGGGGUAGACAGUAAUUUGGUAGUAGUUGGUGACCGUUCUGACCGGUAACUUCUUGAUAAGAUGAGUGGUUUGUUCGAUGUUUUAAA
Long non-coding RNA from Diachasmimorpha longicaudata, 1823 nucleotides. RefSeq lists it as uncharacterized. The transcript is spliced from 2 exons. Lineage: Eukaryota; Metazoa; Arthropoda; Insecta; Hymenoptera; Braconidae. The record is from RefSeq and is a predicted model, not a curated record.